CUUUUUCAAUGAUUAAAAACCAUAUGAUAGGCUGAGGCAGGAGGAUCACUUGAGGCUAAGAGUUCAAGAACCAGCCUGGGCAACAUAAUGAGACCCUGUCCCUACAAAAAAUAAUAAAAAAAAACCUUUUGUGUCAUGGUUGUGCACACCUGUGGUCCCAGCUACUCAGGAGGCUAAGACAGGAGGAUCACUUGAUCCUAAGAGGCUGAGGUUGCAGUGAGCUGAGGUUGCAGUGAGCUAAGGUUGCAG
This 249-nucleotide long non-coding RNA is filed under the name Homo sapiens (human). RNAcentral's name for it is "HSALNT0194847". The record is from RNAcentral. Lineage: Eukaryota; Metazoa; Chordata; Mammalia; Primates; Hominidae.